RNAcentral lists this ribosomal RNA (472 nucleotides) under uncultured bacterium. RNAcentral describes it as "bacterial SSU rRNA". It matches the Rfam family "Bacterial small subunit ribosomal RNA", at positions 355 to 825 of the family's 1533-position model. The record is from RNAcentral.
UCGAGAAUCUUUCGCAAUGGGCGCAAGCCUGACGAAGCGACGCCGUGUGAGCGAAGAAGGCCUUCGGGUUGUAAAGCUCUUUCGCUAGGGAACAAGAGAUAUGGGACAAUACCCCAUAAAUUUGAUGGUACUUGGUAAAGAAGCACCGGCUAACUACGUGCCAGCAGCCGCGGUAAUACGUAGGGACCAAGCGUUGUUCGGAUUUACUGGGCGUAAAGGGCGCGUAGGCGGCAAUUCAAGUCAUCUGUGAAAUCUCCGGGCUUAACUCGGAACGGUCAGAUGAUACUGCUUUGCUAGAGUGCAGAAGGGGCAAUCGGAAUUCUUGGUGUAGCGGUGAAAUGCGUAGAUAUCAAGAGGAACACCUGAGGUGAAGACGGGUUGCUGGGCUGACACUGACGCUGAGGCGCGAAAGCCAGGGGAGCAAACGGGAUUAGAUACCCCCGUAGUCCCUGAGCGGGCUGGCAAGGCGCAU